RNAcentral lists this ribosomal RNA (1356 nucleotides) under metagenome. RNAcentral's name for it is "bacterial LSU rRNA". It matches the Rfam family "Bacterial large subunit ribosomal RNA", at positions 1550 to 2925 of the family's 2925-position model. The record is from RNAcentral.
CCUAUGCUAGGAUGUGAUGGGGAAGCCCUUCGGGGCGAAGUAGCUGAUUUCACACUGUCAAGAAAAGCUUCUAUCGAGUUUAAAGGCGCCCGUACCGUAAACCGACACAGGUGGGUGAGGAGAGUAUCCUAAGGCCAGCGAGAGAACAAUUGUUAAGGAACUCGGCAAAAUGACCCCGUAACUUAGGGAGAAGGGGUGCCUGUCUAUGACAGGCCGCAGAGAAUAGGCCCAAGCGACUGUUUACCUAAAACACAGGUUUCUGCUAAGUCGCAAGACGAUGUAUAGGAGCUGACGCCUGCCCGGUGCUGGAAGGUUAAGGGGAUCUGUUAGAGCAAUCGAAGCAGUGAACUUAAGCCCCAGUAAACGGCGGCCGUAACUAUAACGGUCCUAAGGUAGCGAAAUUCCUUGUCGGGUAAGUUCCGACCCGCACGAAAGGCGUAACGAUUUGGGCACUGUCUCAACAAUAGACUCGGUGAAAUUGUAAUCCCGGUGAAGAUGCCGGGUACCCGCGACAGGACGGAAAGACCCCAUGGAGCUUUACUGUAGCUUGACGUUGGGUCUUGGUACUACAUGUACAGGAUAGGUGGGAGACUAUGAAGCAUGGACGCCAGUCUGUGUGGAGUCAUCCUUGGGAUACCACCCUUGUAGUACUGGGAUCCUAACCAUAGGCCUUGAAUCAGGUCUUGGAACACCGUCAGGUGGGCAGUUUGACUGGGGCGGUCGCCUCCUAAAAAGUAACGGAGGCGCUCAAAGGUUUCCUCAGCACGGUCGGAAAUCGUGCGAAGAGUGUAAAGGCAAAGGAAGCUUGAUUGCAAGACAUACAGGUCGAGCAAGGACGAAAGUCGGACUUAGUGAUCCGGUGGUACCGCAUGGAAGGGCCAUCGCUCAACGGAUAAAAGCUACCCUGGGGAUAACAGGCUUAUCUCCCCCAAGAGUCCACAUCGACGGGGAGGUUUGGCACCUCGAUGUCGGCUCAUCACAUCCUGGGGCUGUAGUAGGUCCCAAGGGUUGGGCUGUUCGCCCAUUAAAGUGGUACGCGAGCUGGGUUCAGAACGUCGUGAGACAGUUCGGUCCCUAUCCGUCGCAGGCGUAGGAAAUUUGAGAAGACCUGUCCUUAGUACGAGAGGACCGGGAUGGACGUACCUCUGGUGUACCAGUUGUUCUGCCAAGGGCAUGGCUGGGUAGCUAUGUACGGAAUGGAUAAGCGCUGAAAGCAUCUAAGCGCGAAGCCAACUUCAAGAUAAGAUUUCCCACCGUAAGGGUAAGACCCCAGGAAGACUACCUGGUUGAUAGGUCGAAGGUGUAAGUGCAGUAAUGUAUUUAGCUUAUCGAUACUAAUAGGUCGAGGACUUGACC